UUCUGUGGCCAUACCAGCCUGAAUACUCCAGAUCGCAUCUGAUCUCAGAAGCCAAGUAGGGUCAGGCCUGGUCAGGACUUGGAUGGAAGACAGAGGAGCCAAGAAU
RNAcentral lists this ribosomal RNA (106 nucleotides) under Ovis aries (sheep). Lineage: Eukaryota; Metazoa; Chordata; Mammalia; Artiodactyla; Bovidae. The record is from RNAcentral.